This 468-nucleotide ribosomal RNA is filed under the name uncultured bacterium. RNAcentral describes it as "partial 16S ribosomal RNA". It matches the Rfam family "Bacterial small subunit ribosomal RNA", at positions 28 to 507 of the family's 1533-position model. The record is from RNAcentral.
GACGAACGCUGGCGGCGGGCUUAACACAUGCAAGUCGAACGGAAAGACCCUGCUUGUGUGGGGUGCUCGAGUGGCGAACGGGUGAGUAACACGUGAGUAACCUACCCUUCACUUUCGGAUAGCUUCAGGAAAGUGGAGCUAAGACCGGAUAGAAUCCCCUCCUGGAUGGUGAGCGUUGGAACGUUGAGGCGGGUGGGGAUGGAUUCGCGGCUUAUCAGCUUGUUGGUGGGGGAGUGGCUUACCAAGGCUUUGGCGGGUCGCCGGCCGGAGAGGGUGGCCGGCGACCUGGCGCCUAAGAGACGGCGCAGUGUGCUAUGGGAGGCAGCGGUGGGGAAUAUUGUCCAAUGGGCGCAAGUGUGAGGAGGAGACGUCGCGGGCGGGAUGACGGUUUUCGGGUUGUGAAACGUUUUCGGUUGUGACGAAGCGUUAGUGACGGUAACGGAUAAAGAAGCACCGGCUAACUACGUG